AUUUUUAUUAGUAGUAGUAUUUUCUCUGUAUUUUUUGAUUUCUGAAGCUGUGGCUACCUGGUUUUUUCUGUUUCGGUUAUGAUUCUAAUUUUGAGGCAACACUGUAAAACUCUCAUAUACCAGUGGUCAGGAAUGUGCUGCAGCAGAUCCUCUCUCUCUUACUAAAUCCAGAACACCAAAUGUCUUAGUCCAUUUUGCCUUACCAUAAAGGAAUACCUAAGGCUGAUAAUUUAUAAAUAAAAGAGGUGUAUUUGGCUUACGCUUCCACAGCCUGUACAAGAAACAUGGUGCCAGCGUCUGCCUCUGCUGAGGACUGCAGGAAACUUCCAAUCAUGACCCAAGAAAUGAGGAGCCUGCAUGCCACAUAUUGAGAGAUGGAGCAUGAGAAAGAGGCAGGAGGAGAAAGUUGCCAAACUGUUUUAACAAUCAGGUCUCGGGGGAACCAAUAAAACAAGAACUCAUGAUCUGGGCACCAAGCCAUUCAAAAGGGAUGUGCCCCAUGGCUCAAACACCUGUCACUAGGCCCCACCUGUAAUACUGAGAUCAAAUUUCAACAUGAGAUUUUGACAUGACAAAUACCCAAACUAUAUCACCUCAAAAGAGAAUAUUUCUGGGAAUAUUAAGAAGGGUUCACAAAGCAGACUCAGGCGUUGGGUUUUGUGUGUAACCAUGGUAUGGAAUUCACAGGCAGUCCAUGUUGCUAGCUCCGGUUUUGUAGGCUGAGAGGGGCCUAAGUCAGGUAUUCAACCUAAAGCGAUUAGCCUCCUUCACUUAAGCACUUGGCUGAAAGACUGACUUCAGAAGACAGUACUCUAGCUGGGAUGUUGCACAUGGAACAGAUUGAUCUUGAAAUCUGGUCCUGAAGUCAGUUUCACAGCAGGAAUUUCACACAUGCAGGCACAAAUGAGCACUUGUGCAAAUCUCCAUGAAAUAGCUGCGAAUAUUGUCUAAACUGGCUUUCAGCUGGGUAGCCAGUCUUCCAGAUAAAUGUCAAAUUAACUGGAUAAUUAUACCUCAAUAUGAACUCAAUGUCCAACAGUAGAUUUUGGGGAGAUUUAUUUUUCUUUAAACAGUGCUGGCUUCGUAAUCUUAUAGAAACAUUGUUUAUCUCAGAUUCUGAGAAGUAUUCAAAUAAAUAAAAGAGUAAACCAAAUGGAUUAUCAUUUUCCUCUUUCCUCUUCCCUCCCUCCCUUCCUCCUUCUUCUUUCCCUGUACCUAGUGUGUGCAAAGAACUAUGCUGGGUGUUGUAGAAUAAAACAAGUUAACAUAUAACCUUUCAGUAGUCAACGAGCAACCUCAUGGGGAAGACAGACAAAUGCUAACUGUAAAAUACCAUACAUGUGCUCUAAUAGAAAUAUCAACUAUGUAUUUUGAAAACAUACAGAUUCUAAGUCCCAAAUCAGCCAGGACCCACUGUCUUGGCUACUGCUUUUAACUAUGUUGAUUAGCAAGAUGAUGACACAUAGUAGAUAUUUAAAAGAUAGAACAGGGAAUGCACUUUGUAAUUUUGUGGAAAAGAUGAGUGGCAAAGAAAUGAAAACAAAGAUUAUAUUUGAGCUGGGAUAUAAAGGAAUUUCUUUUUUCUUAACCUGUUUUAAUUUUGUUUUUGGUUUUGUUUUGUGAAAAAUAACCCUGGAUGCUUCCAACACUUUCUCUUUCUACAGUGACCCCACCUUUACAAUUGCCUGUAAUUCUCACUAGCAGUGUAUUAGAGGGCAAAAGAUUUGAACAGACACAUCAGACAAGAAGAUAUACAAAUAGCCACUAAGCACUUGAAAGGAUUCUGAACAUCAUUAGUCAUCAGUGAAAUGCAAAUUAAAGCCAUAAUGAAUGGCGCUAUGCAUUUUCAGAAUGGCUAGGAUUAAAGACUGAAAAAAAUCAAGCGUUGGUGAAUACGUAAACUUAUUGGGUUUAUGUUUUGCAUAUGCAAAGUUUUAUCUCCCUAAGGGAGAGUUUUACUUCCUAUUUCCUAACUUCGUAUGUUUUAUUGCUUUUACUUUCCAUAUUUCAAUUGACAGAACCUCUUAUACAGUGUUUCCAUUUUUCAUUUUUGAAUUUUAAGGGUCCUCUAGAUCAUCUGGUAUAUGUGUUGUGAAUAUUAUCUCCCAGUCUGUAGGUUGCCUUUUGAUUUUGUUACCUGUGCUUCCAAGGAGCAAAAAUUUGGAUUAAACAAUUGAUUAAUGUUUUUGUAAUGGUUAAUAAUAUUCGUGUUCUAAGAAAACAUUUCUUAACCUCUCUAGGAAUUUUAUAACUUUAGGAUUUACAUCUAAGUCUGUAAUCAAUUUCCAUUUUAUGGCAUGAGAUACGAAUCUCUUAUCUUACUUCCAUUUAGAAAUUUAAUUGUUUUAGUCAUAUUUAUUGAAAAGUAUUUUCUUUGAUUAUUGAAUUGUCUUAGCGCCUUUGUAAAAAAAUCAAUUAAAUAUGUGUGGGUCUAUUUCUGAACUUGUGACUUUGUCCCAUCCCUCUGUAUCUUUAAACUUUUGCCGCUCCUAACGUGUCUUGAUUUCUGUAAGCUUUAUUUUGUGCUGAAAUCAAGUAUGGUAAUUAUUCUAAAUUUGUUCUUCUGUUAAAGAAAGUGCUUAGCAAAGUAAUGCUAAGUUCUUUGAACUUCCAUAUAAAUUGUAGAAUCAGCUUAUAGAGUUUGCCAAAAAAACCUGUGGGAUUUUGAUUGGAACUGCAUUGAAAGCAUAGACAAUUUUUGAGUAAUUGACAUUUAACAAUAUUGAGACUUUCAAUUCUUGAAUGUAAUUUAUCAUCCCAUUUAUUUAGACCUUCAAUUUCUCACAAGAAUAUUGAUAAUAUUUAGUGUGAGAUCUUUAUUUUUUCCGUUGCAUUUAUCUAAGUAUUUUAUGAAUUUUCGUGCUAUUGUGAAUGGAUUUUGAACAAUUAUUAUUUUCUAGUUAUUUACUGCCAACAUAUACAAGUACAAAGCAUUUUUAAUAUUAACCCUUUAUCCUGUAACCUUGUUAGACUCACUGAUUAGUUCUAGCAGUUGUUUUGUAGACCUAUUGAGGUUUUUUUGUACAUAUGUAUUAUUAUGUAUCUAUAUGUCUCAAUAAAUGCAAAACAGAAAUCCCUGAUUCUCUUUUCUACCAGGUUGUUUUAUCUUUAUAUAUGGAACUACCAUCACUAUCACAUAUUUGCUACAGACUAAAAACUAGACAUGAUCACUCCUUUGUCUCACCUUCCAAAUAAAUCCAGAAGAUCACAUGGUUAUCUCUGCCGUUCUAAAUCUUUCCAGUUCUAUUUAUAGUUAUAUUCAUUUUUACAGCCACCACCUUACCCCCCAGCUACAAUCCUCCCGUGUCUGAUGGAUUAAAAUCAUUUACUUCAUGAUCUUCUUGCUGCUUCUAUUGACCCUCAACACAACAAAGAGAGCUAUCUUUUUGAAAUGUUAAUAGGAUUAUGCCUAUACACUAUCAGAAGCACCUCAUUAAGCUUUAGUUGAAACCCAGGUUACUUACUGCUGUCUUCCAGACUUGAAACACUGUGGUCCCUACUUAAGCUCCAUGCUUGUACUUUUUCUUCUACCCGUUAUGGUAUGACUGCAGCUGUCUUUUCUGUUUCUUGAAUAUAUCCAGUCCUUUUCAUCCCCGGGUGCUUGAAGUUGUUCUUCCCUCUGCCUGGAGUUCUCCUCACCUUUCAGGUUUCAGCUCAAAGAUAAAAUUCUCAGAGAUGCACUAGCUUCCUUGAAGCACUAGCUACAACAGUUAUCCUACAGUUAGUCUCAUCUCUGAUUAAUCUGCUUAUUUCUUUCAUUACAUUAUUACAACCUGCAAUAAUCUUUUUAUUUUAUUUUUGACUGGCCUUGUUCCUAUUACUAUAAUAUAUCUUAUCUUUCAAUUCGUUGCUGUAUUCAUAAUACUUCAAAUAAUACCUAACACGUAAUUGGAAUUCAACAUGUGUACUGAAGGAAUAAGUCAAUGAAUAAAUAUUUCUAAAAGUCUAAGCUUCUGUUAAAUUCCUAAAGGGGUCUUUUACUCAAUUUAAGAACCACUGCUUUUAAAGUACAAAAAAACACAUAGAUUUCUUCUGUUUUGUUCUAAAGCAUAAGAAUCACAAUAGCAUUAAUCAAAGGAGGAUAUAAGGUAGGAAAGCAGGCAUAUAGGUAUAAUAAAAUAGACCUCUCUAUAUCAGUUGAUUUCUGUCAACCGACUAAAUCUCAAAUAGAUUAUGCAUAUUAUGAGAGUUCCACUGGCAGCUUCUCAGAAAUUUCCCUGAGAUUUAGAAUUUAUUGGCAUCUUCGAUUGCUUUAGCAUUGAUACUUAUGCGAUUAAGACAUUGUCAAGCACACCAUUUGAGACAAAUUUUGAGAGACAAUGUUACCCUUGUUUAAAAUACUAAUUUGUAAUCCUUCCCUUCUAUUUUUAUAUCGUGUCUUGCACUUACUUUAGUUAUCUAGCUUUUGUUGCUUUUUUGUAUCUCUAAAAACCAUAACAUCUUACCCUUGAAUUUUUUGCAUUGAUAUAUUAGUUAUGUGACUGAAAUCAUUUUCCUUCUUAUUUAUUUUUUUCAAGAGAUACUAAAAGAAAUCUUACUUUAUUCUGUAAGAUUAAUUUAUAAAGCAGCUCCUUCUUUGUCACAUGAUCAGAUACCACAAAAACAUUAAAUGUUUUCAAAUAGAUUUUAAUAAUGUCUGAACAAAACAAUGGUCUUCCCAAAAGCUAUGUUGAUGUUUACCUCAUAUGCUUAAAUCAAAGAGGAAAAGGGUCCACGCAAACCACCACACAAUUAAAAUAAUAAGCACACUGAUAUUAUAUUGCCCCUAAAAUGAAAUCUUUUAAAAUCCAAUGUACUGUGUAUCUCACCUAUAUAAUUUACUUGACAGCUGUCAUUUAUUGAGUGCUUUCUCUGCUAUUACAAUAGUUAAUAUACAUCUUUUUUGGUUCCUCUUCCCACACUAGUAAUAUCGUAAGCCUCUUUGGUGUUGCAUCAGGGAUUCUUACUAGAAAUGUCCCAUGGUACUUGGAACACAAUAGCUCCUUGUUGAAUUUAACUACUAAAUUAUAACAAAUGUUCAUGACAACAAAUUUUAACCAUAUAUUGGGAAAAUGCCAACAUAAUCAAGCCAGAAAUAUCCGUAUGUAUUAAUCAGAGACUGUAUUCUACAGAGUUGCAAGGAUUUUGUCUUUUUUAGCUUCAAGUUAUUAUAGAGCACUAUUAUUAACAUAGAACUACAUUUUUGCCCACUUUCAGUAUGGCUGUGUUAUAGGCUGAAUUAUCUUACUCUAAAUAUUUAUAUGUUGAAGUCCUAGCCCCCAGUAUCUCAAAAUAUGACUAUAUUUGGAGACACGAGCUUUACACAUGUAACUAAGUUAAAAUGAGGUGAUUCUGGUAGGUCCUAAUUCACUAUGACUGAUGUCCUUAUUAGAGGAGAGUGACAAACGGGGAGGCAGCCAUGGUGCAUGAUGAUCGCAAAAGAAAUACCAUGUGAGGAUACAGCAAGAAGGUGGCCAUCUACAAGCCAAGGAGACAGGCCUCAGAAGAAACCAACCCUGCUUACACCUUGGGCUCAGACUUCUAAUCUCCAGAACUACACAGGGUCUCGCUAUAUUUCUCAGGCUGGUUCCACACUCCUGGCCUCAAGGGAUUCUCCCUCCUAAGCCUCCAAAAGCAUAAGGUUUAAUUGCACGGAGAGAGGGAGCAUAGAACAGGAGAAAUACACCACAGCAACAGAGGUAAGGACCUCAGCUUUAGAGAUUUCCCAUUUUAUUACAGUUAUAUUUCCAUUUAGAUAUGUUAUUUAGAUAUUAAGGUGUAACUGUCCAAUAGGCAGUAUGAACCUGGGUUCUGGAUGAAGACCGAUCAGGAUAUUGUGUCAAUGACAGUAGUUGAAGGCACUGGUAUUAAAGGUUGUAGAGAGAGUUGUGAUGAGCCAGAAUCUUGAGCAAUUUAAGAGUUAGAUGUUGUACAGAUUGUUGAAGGCUAGAAUUGUUUUUUGUUGUUGUUGUUGUUGUUUGUUUGUUUCUUUUCUUAAAGCCCUGGCCCAUUUCCCUGAAGAGCUCUCACUGGAAAAGUC
Molecule: long non-coding RNA, 6019 nt
Organism: Macaca mulatta (Rhesus monkey)
Lineage: Eukaryota; Metazoa; Chordata; Mammalia; Primates; Cercopithecidae
Source: RefSeq, a predicted model, not a curated record